Molecule: small nucleolar RNA, 80 nt
Organism: Setaria italica (foxtail millet)
Lineage: Eukaryota; Viridiplantae; Streptophyta; Magnoliopsida; Poales; Poaceae
Rfam family: Small nucleolar RNA R160
About the family: snoR160 is a C/D box small nucleolar RNA, which acts as a methylation guide for 25S ribosomal RNA in plants. snoR160 has been alternatively named snoZ270 in rice.
Source: Rfam
GGCGAUGUGAGGAGACUGAAGCAUCUGAAAGUUUUCGUGUGGAUAACACAUCAAAUGGUCUUCAAAGUUCUCUGAUCGCU